GACGAACGCUGGCGGCGUGCCUAAUACAUGCAAGUAGAACGCUGAAGGAGGAGCUUGCUCUACUGGAUGAGUUGCGAACGGGUGAGUAACGCGUAGGUAACCUGCCUGGUAGCGGGGGAUAACUAUUGGAAACGAUAGCUAAUACCGCAUAACAGUAGAUGUUGCAUGACAUUUGCUUAAAAGGUGCAAUUGCACCACUACCAGAUGGACCUGCGUUGUAUUAGCUAGUUGGUGGGGUAACGGCUCACCAAGGCGACGAUACAUAGCCGACCUGAGAGGGUGAUCGGCCACACUGGGACUGAGACACGGCCCAGACUCCUACGGGAGGCAGCAGUAGGGAAUCUUCGGCAAUGGACGGAAGUCUGACCGAGCAACGCCGCGUGAGUGAAGAAGGUUUUCGGAUCGUAAAGCUCUGUUGUAAGAGAAGAACGAGUGUGAGAGUGGAAAGUUCACACUGUGACGGUAUCUUACCAGAAAGGGACGGCUAACUACGUG
This 495-nucleotide ribosomal RNA is filed under the name uncultured bacterium. RNAcentral describes it as "partial 16S ribosomal RNA". It matches the Rfam family "Bacterial small subunit ribosomal RNA", at positions 28 to 507 of the family's 1533-position model. The record is from RNAcentral.